GCGCCGAUAGUGUAGUGGUUAACACGCCGCUUUCCCAUGGGAAAGUCUUGACUUCCCGUCUUGGCUUUCGGACAUAAAGCGGCAGCCCGGGUUCGAACCCCGGUCGGCGCA
Molecule: transfer RNA, 111 nt
Filed under: Penicillium expansum
Lineage: Eukaryota; Fungi; Ascomycota; Eurotiomycetes; Eurotiales; Aspergillaceae
Rfam family: tRNA
About the family: Transfer RNA (tRNA) molecules are approximately 80 nucleotides in length. Their secondary structure includes four short double-helical elements and three loops (D, anti-codon, and T loops). Further hydrogen bonds mediate the characteristic L-shaped molecular structure. tRNAs have two regions of fundamental functional importance: the anti-codon, which is responsible for specific mRNA codon recognition, and the 3' end, to which the tRNAs corresponding amino acid is attached (by aminoacyl-tRNA synthetases). tRNAs cope with the degeneracy of the genetic code in two manners: having more than one tRNA (with a specific anti-codon) for a particular amino acid; and 'wobble' base-pairing, i.e. permitting non-standard base-pairing at the 3rd anti-codon position.
Source: Rfam by way of RNAcentral